AUUUAAGACGACCAAAGCCUGAAUAAGCUCAACUCCAUUUGUAGGUUUGUCACGAUUAGGGUUAGUUUUGUGUGCUCAGUGUUAGGGUCAGUACUGACAUCACACAGAGGGGGCGGUGUUGAGGUGCUCAUUAGCGGUAAAUGGCAACAGCUCUGUGGCCUGGUGAGUCUCAGGAAGUGAGACUCUGAGUGGGGAGUCUCUGGAGGUGGCUCUCUGCAGGUGAGACUUGGGAGUUUGAAGGAAUAAAACACGAAGGACACAUGUUUCUGUAAAGACACCUCAAUGAGGGAACUUUUGGUUGUAUACACAAGGGGAAACUGAACGACGGGAUUCAAAGCGCGGGCUGGUCACCUGGAGACGAGGUGCCGGUGCGGCAUGUCACGGAUAUGGCAAGCCUUGCCAUACACGGAGAGAGUGCUGUUCGCCUACGAGGCUGUGGACCUGCUUUGAUUUCCUCCUAACCCCCUAGAUAGGACCUGGAGAAUGGCCGCCAGAAUGGUGAAACAGGAUCCCCACGCAGCAGCCGCAGGACAUGGGAGAAAAGGGACGGACACAGUAAGCCUUCGAUGUUCCUCUGUCAAGUCAAUGGUCCACAACUCUUCCCCACUUAGCCGAGAAGACCUCAGUAAUGUAUAAAGGACAUUCUGACUCCCUGUCGCCUCAUGUUUCAGAAGGACUCAUUGGGCCUCUACUACCGGGGUUUUAAAUAUUCCUGCGGUUCCAUCAAAAAAAAAAGGAAAACUGCCGUGCACCUGAGGUUGUGAAUGCAACAUCCAACAAAGAGGUUACAUCUAUCACAUUUUUUAAAGGAACGGGGAAAGUACCAAUGGCAUUAACUUGUAGGAUCCUGCUAUCACUGUCUUUCACACCUCUGCACUCUAUUAUUUUGUAUUGUUUCAUGAUAUGAUUUAUCUUUCAUGCAGUGUUAAGGUUCAAGCUAUAUUAAAUCCCAGAGGGCGAUUGUUUUGAAGUCCAAGUGCAUCACAGUCACAGACACUGUGAAAAAUACAAGAGUUAGGAAGAGACUAUUCAACAAAUAAUACUAGGGCUGGGUAUUGUGGCCAAUUUCCUAAAUCGAUUCGAUUUCGAUUCAUAAGGUUCUGAAUCAAUUAAUCACCAUUUCAUUCGAUUCGAUUCAAUCUGCUCUUAAAUAAUGAAAAUAUCUCAAAAGCGCAAUUUUGAAAUUAGAAAGGUGUAUGGCCCUAAACAAUACAGGAGACAAGAACAGACCAUCCUAGACACGAUAAUGGGUCUUGUUUGAUUUUGAAAUGUUCCUUCAAAGCCUUGCCCACCCGGGAUUUUGUCCUUUACUGGUUUCACCUCUCCACUCAUUUGGUUAUUGUGGUCAUUGUAAGCUUUUUUAAGCUGACGUUUUAUCACUGGAUGAAUUACCUUAUGCAUCGCAUUGUACAGUGUUGUGCUGGAAUAUACGGUUAAAGCACCUUGAGCUCAACAUCAUUGACAACAUUUGUCUUUCUGAAUUAAGCGAAGUCUUACUUUGUUUAAAAGAAUAGAUUUUCUUUAAACAUGGAUUUUCCGUGUGUUUUGAUAUCUCUCUAUUUAUUCAUGUUAGCAUGUUUAGACACUGACUUUUAUUCAACAUCUUUGCAGACUCAUCUCAGUAGUUUAAUACUUGUUUCUUAAGUGUGCUCAAACCUCUUUUUUUCUGCUAGCAGGGCUGAUGGCAAAGCAUGGUUAUUUAUUUAUUUAUUUGGGCUUCAAGAUUAAUCUCAAAUGACUUCCCGAAACCACAAUGGUUUCCACAAGAGUGUCAUUAAACACUUGAAUGGCGAGUUCAUCCCAUAUCUGUCAUCACCUAUUAUUAUUUAUAUAACAACUUUUGCCCUUUUCAAAGUCUGACCUUAUCUUUAUUUGAGUUUCUGGCUUUCAUCCUUCCAGAGCAAAAGUAUUCAAAAAAUCGAGGUGGUUAUGUCAUAAAAGAUAUGCUUCAGUAAUUCUUAAAAAAAAGUCUUUAAGAACUGGCAAGUAGCAAAACCCUGAACUCCCCAUAUCUUCAAUCCUUAAAAACAAUGAAUAUUAUAAUAGGUAUUUGUUGGAUUUUUUGGUGAAGUAAUUUAACUCAUUUGAAAUGGAGAAUUUCCUCACCUUAGUGUCCAGAGAAUAUGAUGCUCUAUGAAUAUGCAACACCCAAAGGCCUCAGACCAUCAAACAACGACAACCCGAUAAUUAGCAUUUAUUAUCAUUUUGGAACGUGAUAAGUUGGAUCUAUUUUCUUAUCCAACACAUUUGUGCUUAAAGUGUCUGUGUUCUCCCAUUUUUCAGUAAUGUGGAGACAGUGCGAGGUAGAGAGACAAACACGCUGGUUGAUUGCAACGAAUAAUCUGUCUUUGUAGACCUUUAAUAGUUAACUGUUCAUCACCCAGGCUGGCCAGGCCAAAACGCUAUUUUUUUCAUACCCUGUCUCGUGUUGGAAUCCAUGACCACACACGCUCCCACUAUCAAUUCUGGCCGGACUCUUGUUUGAGCCUUACACUCUGCUGCAGCUGUUGACAUGCAACGCUAAGGGCGUCGGGAAGGCUGUGAACAGACUGCAGAUGGAGGACAGACCCACAGGAGUCCAGCUACUACACUCAAACCGGCUGAACCUCAGCUGCUAGGUGUGUUUAGUUUGUUUGUUUUUGGUGGAUCGAUUGGACCUGUCUCCUGACCAAGACUCAACAGAGAUUCAACUCCAAAAUUCCAAGUGUUUUAGAUUUGUAUUAUCCAACUCUUUAAUUUAUCUUUUUUAUGUUGGUUUUAGAAAUAUUUAUGUUAAAUAUCAUUUUACUCGGGCAGAGAUGGGCCCACUUCUAAUACAUCUAAUACAGCCCUAUGCAAGAGAAUCCUGUUAGCCAACAGGAAGCCUAGGCACCCAACCUGAUCAACACAGCGGCAACAUAUCUAAGAGGUGGUGUUAGCUGGUUGGUGACGGUGGACACAUCGGCCCCUUCAUGUGCAUGAAGGUAGAUCUACACAGGUAGAGCUGGGUUGGAGACCUGGUGCAGAGUACAGAUGUGAGCGAAACUAUUGAUGUACCCUAACUGUUUGCUGUCAGCCGUGAUGGGUUCAGCGUGCUGCCGAUUGUCCAUCAAUGUGUGACUGGUGCAGGUGUCUCUGCUUUGAUGCGCCUCUUAUUUAUCCCUCAACGGUAUGAAAGGCAUUAUCGUCACUGUGAUAUCAACUGCCGCUGAUGCCAGAGUACUGGCUGGGCUCCUGUGUUUCCUCACUGGGCUCAUGGCUCCCUAUCAGGGCUGUGUCUGAAGUAGGACAUGGCACAGCUGUCAUCAGUUGCAUAAGCACUUGUCCAACCGAAACAGUACUUCUAUUUAAAUGGAAAUGGGAGUAAACAUUAAGCGAAAGAUGGAUAAGAUACAGAUUAGAUAGAGGCAGUCCAAUGGCUACCGGGUUUGCACUUCCACCCAGAUGGUACACGGCUCAAUCCCCAAUAUCAAUAGCCUUACCUCACAAGUGCCCUUGAGCAAGAUACAUAACCUCUGUCUGAUCAUUUCAUCUCCAUCCGAAUGCCCUUUCAGUCAAUUUGAAUAAAAGCUCAAGAAAUGAAA
Molecule: long non-coding RNA, 3563 nt
Organism: Gadus macrocephalus (Pacific cod)
Lineage: Eukaryota; Metazoa; Chordata; Actinopteri; Gadiformes; Gadidae
Exons: 4
Source: RefSeq, a predicted model, not a curated record